UUGUGCAUACCGACGGUUUAUUUCCUCCUAUGGCUGAGUCGUAUUUCCUCCUAUGGCUGAGUCGUACAGGCACCAUUGUGUUUCACCCACUGAAGGAUGCCUGCGUUGUUUCCCUCUUUGAUUACUACAGCUAAAUCCUAGACCUCUUACAAGUAGGAAAUACUCAAACUGCAGAAAACUCCUCACGGCCCUCAACUUUCACUCGCUGUGUACAGAAGCACCAGCCCGGGAUCUCCGUGGUCCUGGGUGCACAGAAGAAAGCUCCCAGAGAUCUGGCAGAAAGAAUUUUACAAAUGCUCUCCGGCCCUCACCCCCUAGAGGCUGAGAACUCCCCUCCUGCACCUCACAAGCAAUCAAGCCCAGGACCAGUCCCUGACUCCGUAUUCAGCAAUCCUGGAAGCUCCCCAAAUCGUCCACUUUCAUUAGCAUCAAGACCCCAGAAAGAGGCACCUUGGGAAAAUCUGCAAGCCUUGGUUGGCCGGGAAAAUCUGCUCUGGGUAAAUUCAUGAUCUCUAAACGCA
Molecule: long non-coding RNA, 521 nt
Organism: Neofelis nebulosa (Clouded leopard)
Lineage: Eukaryota; Metazoa; Chordata; Mammalia; Carnivora; Felidae
Exons: 2
Source: RefSeq, a predicted model, not a curated record